This is a long non-coding RNA of Apodemus sylvaticus (European woodmouse), 685 nucleotides long. RefSeq lists it as uncharacterized. The record is from RefSeq and is a predicted model, not a curated record. NCBI's taxonomy places the organism in Eukaryota, Metazoa, Chordata, Mammalia, Rodentia, Muridae. The transcript has 5 exons.
CAGAAUGGAAGCAAACUUAUCCUGGACAUCCUGGGCCCCACACAGAACAGCCAUCUGAACCAUCACAGCCACUGCUGCCAGCCACAGCCCUCCGCAACUCCAUCACAGCCUAGAGAGGGAUCAAGACACUGAAGACCUAGGUUCUAAGAAAGAUACUAGCCAUCUGAGUUCUCCCAAGACUCCAGCCAUGUCCCUGAUCUGCUGGACACUGCAUUCUCAUUCCUUACCAGACACACAGGCCACAUGUCCUUCAGGAAGCCUUGAUCACCCGUCAGGUGCCACUACGCCACUCAUCAGGUACCGUCGCCGGGUCAGGUCCUCCUUGAAAGUUGCCAGAGCUGGGGGAGCGGAGACACAAGGUUGACAACAGCCAGACUCAACUCUUCCAGGAAUCAGAGCUUGAGGAUAGAAACAGAAGAAUCCUGGGACUGAAGAAGCGCGUGCUUAAAUAAGGGACUCAAUGUUUCAGCUGGCCGAGAAGACAAAAUGCUAGGAGAAGAGGGAUGCAGACAAAAAAAAAAAAUGUUCUUCAGUUCCACCCUCAAAACUGCAGGGCUAAAGAAUACAGGGGCUAUGACUGGAGCCAGGUGCCCACCUGCUUGCCAACCCUUUGCCACUUAAGCAGGGAUUCUGCAUGGGCACAAAGGAACCAAGGAUACAGGCAACGGAAUCUACUCACCUCAAG